AAGCUAGGAGGAGCAAGCCAGUGAGCAGCACCCCUCCGUGGCCUCUGUGUCAGCUCCUGCCUCCAGUUUCCUGCCCUGUUUUAGUUCCUGCCCUGGCUUCCUCCAGUGAUGGGAGUUUGCCCUGAGGCUGGAAAACCAGAACAGGAGGACGUCACCCAGCCAGCGGUGUAAGAUCUGAGCCAGGUACAGGAGUGCAUCCCAGCGCAGAAGGGGAACACACAGUUUGACUCUCAGUGAGUCCAGCUGAGUUCACCAGCGUUACUGUACAGCUCACAGCCACCUGCCGAAUGCUCCCUUCUGUGAAACACCAACCAACCCAGGCCAGGCAGAAAAAAAACUGAGGGUUUCCUUUAAGAAAUAUGGCUUAACUUCAUCCAGCAGCUGGUGGAAGUAAAAGCCGACACCCACAACUAUUCACCGAACUGAACUGGAAUCCAGUUGCAGAGAAGGACGAGUGAAAAGCAAAGGGGUCCAGACCAGGCUGGUGAAACCCACAGAAACAGCUGACUUGAACAUCAGGGAACUCUUGCUCCCCAGACUGAUAGCUGGGAUACCAGCAUGAGACUGAUCCAGCCCCCAGGAACAUGGGUUUCUGUGAGGAAACCUUGGAAAUCUAUGGGAUCUCCUGUAGUUGUUCAGUACUUAUCCCUAGCAUAGGUGUGGACUUUGGGAGCCCAUUCCACAUAGAGGGAUACUCCCUGAGCCAAGACACACGGGGUGGGCCUAGGCCCUAUCCCAAAGGAUGGGAUAGACUCUGAUGACACCCUAUGGAAGGCCUCACUAUCCCUGGGGAACAGAAAGGAUAUGUGACAGGUAGGGUUUUAGUUGGGAGGGGGUGGUAG
This 842-nucleotide long non-coding RNA is filed under the name Cricetulus griseus (Chinese hamster). Its description in RNAcentral is "lncRNA (ENSCGRG00015040976.1)". Lineage: Eukaryota; Metazoa; Chordata; Mammalia; Rodentia; Cricetidae. The record is from RNAcentral.